GUUAGAAACUAAGAAUUGAACUAAUUUAAGAAUCAAUUAAAUUGUAAAUUUAUUUAAAUUUUAUGACU
Molecule: transfer RNA, 68 nt
Filed under: Epiperipatus biolleyi
Lineage: Eukaryota; Metazoa; Onychophora; Udeonychophora; Euonychophora; Peripatidae
Description: tRNA-Asp
Source: RNAcentral